RNAcentral lists this ribosomal RNA (206 nucleotides) under uncultured bacterium. RNAcentral describes it as "partial 16S ribosomal RNA". It matches the Rfam family "Bacterial small subunit ribosomal RNA", at positions 524 to 729 of the family's 1533-position model. The record is from RNAcentral.
UACGUAGGGCGCAAGCGUUGUCCGGAAUUAUUGGGCGUAAAGAGCUCGUAGGCGGUUUGUCGCGUCUGCUGUGAAAACCUAAGGCUCAACCUUGGGCUUGCAGUGGGUACGGGCAGACUAGAGUGCGGUAGGGGUGACUGGAAUUCCUGGUGUAGCGGUGGAAUGCGCAGAUAUCAGGAGGAACACCGAUGGCGAAGGCAGGUCAC